CAGCAGCCACGGGAAUACGUAGGUGGCAAGCGUUGUCCGGAAUUAUUGGGCGUAAGGCGCGCGCAGGUGGUUUAAUAAGUCUGAUGUGAAAGCCCACGGCUCAACCGUGGAGGGUCAUUGGAAACUGUUAAACUUGAGUGCAGGAGAGAAAAGUGGAAUUCCUAGUGCAGCGGUGAAAUGCGUAGAGAUUAGGAGGAACACCAGUGGCGAAGGCGGCUUUUUGGCCUGUAACUGACACUGAGGCGCGAAAGCGUGGGGAGCAAACAGGAUUAGAUACCCCGGUAGUCCCUGUCUCUUAUAC
RNAcentral lists this ribosomal RNA (301 nucleotides) under uncultured bacterium. RNAcentral's name for it is "partial 16S ribosomal RNA". It matches the Rfam family "Bacterial small subunit ribosomal RNA", at positions 509 to 807 of the family's 1533-position model. The record is from RNAcentral.